Molecule: unclassified non-coding RNA, 236 nt
Filed under: uncultured fungus
Lineage: Eukaryota; Fungi
Description: sequence contains ITS1, 5.8S rRNA gene
Rfam family: 5.8S ribosomal RNA (bases 188-236)
Source: RNAcentral
UCUCCGUUGGUGAACCUGCGGAGGGAUCAGUACUGAGUGAGGGCUUCGGUCCGACCUCCAACCCUUUGUGAACCAAACUUGUUGCUUCGGGGGCGACCCUGCCGCUUCGGCGGUGCGGCGCCCGCCGGAGGAUAACCAAACUCUGAUUUAACGACGUUUCUUCUGAGUGGUACAAGCAAAUAAUCAAAACUUUUAACAACGGAUCUCUUGGUUCUGGCAUCGAUGAAGAACGCGGC